GGAGAUUUAGCUCAGUGGUAGAGUGCUUGCCUAGCAAGUAAAAGGCCCUGGGUUCGGUCCCCAGCUCUG
Molecule: non-coding RNA, 69 nt
Organism: Rattus norvegicus (Norway rat)
Lineage: Eukaryota; Metazoa; Chordata; Mammalia; Rodentia; Muridae
Source: Rfam